This 476-nucleotide ribosomal RNA is filed under the name Ulocolla grisea. Its description in RNAcentral is "partial 28S ribosomal RNA". It matches the Rfam family "Eukaryotic large subunit ribosomal RNA", at positions 114 to 591 of the family's 3401-position model. The record is from RNAcentral. Lineage: Eukaryota; Fungi; Basidiomycota; Agaricomycetes; Auriculariales; Exidiaceae.
UUUGAAUCUGGCGGUCUACGGCCGUCCGAGUUGUAAUCUAGAGAGGUGUUUUCCGUGCCGGACCGUGUACAAGUCCCUUGGAACAGGGCGUCAUAGAGGGUGAGAAUCCCGUCCAUGACACGGACUCCCGGUGCUCUGUGAUACACCUUCAAAGAGUCGAGUUGUUUGGGAAUGCAGCUCAAAAUGGGUGGUAAAUUCCAUCUAAAGCUAAAUACAGGCGAGAGACCGAUAGCGAACAAGUACCGUGAGGGAAAGAUGAAAAGAACUUUGGAAAGAGAGUUAAACAGUACGUGAAAUUGUUGAAAGGGAAACGCUUGAAGUCAGUCGCGUCUGUCAGGACUCAGCCUUGCUUUUGCUUGGUGCACUUCCUGGUGGAUGGGCCAGCAUCGAUUUUGAUCGCCGGAGAAGGGUGGGAGGAAUGUGGCAGCUUGCUGUGUUAUAGCCUCCUAUCGUACACGGUGAUUGGGAUCGAGGAC